UACGGAGGGUGCAAGCGUUAAUCGGAAUAAUUGGGCGUAAAGAGCGCGUAGGUGGUUUGUUAAGUGCGUUGUGAAAGACUCGGGCUUAACCUGGGGGUGUCAACGCAAACUGACAAACUAGAGUACAGUAGAGGGUCGUGGAAUUUCCGGUGUAGCGGUGAAAUGCGUAGAGAUCGGAAGGAACACCAGUGGCGAAGGCGACGACCUGGGCUGAAACUGACACUGAGGCGCGAAAGCGUGGGGAGCAAACAGG
RNAcentral lists this ribosomal RNA (253 nucleotides) under uncultured prokaryote. Its description in RNAcentral is "partial 16S ribosomal RNA". It matches the Rfam family "Bacterial small subunit ribosomal RNA", at positions 524 to 776 of the family's 1533-position model. The record is from RNAcentral.